CCUACGGGUGGCAGCAGUGGGGAAUAUUGGACAAUGGGGGCAACCCUGAUCCAACCAUGCCGCGUGUGUGAAGAAGGCCCUCGGGUUGUAAAGCACUUUCAGUGAGGAAGAACGCCUGGUGGUUAAUACCCAUCAGGAAAGACAUCACUCACAGAAGAAGCACCGGCUAACUCCGUGCCAGCAGCCGCGGUAAUACGGAGGGUGCGAGCGUUAAUCGGAAUUACUGGGCGUAAAGCGCGCGUAGGUGGCUUGAUAAGCCGGUUGUGAAAGCCCCGGGCUCAACCUGGGAACGGCAUCCGGAACUGUCAAGCUAGAGUGCAGGAGAGGAAGGUAGAAUUCCCGGUGUAGCGGUGAAAUGCGUAGAGAUCGGGAGGAAUACCAGUGGCGAAGGCGGCCUUCUGGACUGACACUGACACUGAGGUGCGAAAGCGUGGGUAGCAAACAGGAUUAGAUACCCUAGUAGUC
Molecule: ribosomal RNA, 465 nt
Filed under: Vreelandella stevensii
Lineage: Bacteria; Pseudomonadati; Pseudomonadota; Gammaproteobacteria; Oceanospirillales; Halomonadaceae
Description: partial 16S ribosomal RNA
Rfam family: Bacterial small subunit ribosomal RNA
Source: RNAcentral